GUUUAUUUUUAAAAUUAAAACAAUCUAUAUUAUGGCCCAUAGUGUCUAAAAUUUUUUUUUUUUUUGAGGAAGAUUAGCCCUGAGCUAACAUCCGCUGCCAAUCCUCCUCUUUUUGCUGAGGAAGACUGGUCCUGAGCUAACAGCUAUGCCCAUCUUCCUCUAUUUUAUAUGCAGUAUGCCUGCCACAAUAUAACUUGAUAAGUGGUGCAUAGGUCCGCACCCAGGAUUUGAACCAGCAAACCCCGGGCCACUGAAGCAGAGUGCGCAAACUUAACGACUGCAUCACUGGGCUGGCCCCGUCUAAAAUGUUUUUUGACUUAUCAGCUCGCAUUAUUUUUUAAUUUUAAGAGGGAAAAAUAUAAUUAGGUUACAUUUAGAAGUAUUGUAACUUCCUCCUCCAUUGCAAAGCCUUGUGUUUAACUUUUACUAGAUUUUGUACCGUAUCCUAUUCCUUUAGGAAGUUUAUAAGUGUUUUAUUGCUACUGGAAAAUUUUGGUGGGUGUAUGUGCACAGGAGAGAAAUAUGUACAUUUUUUAUUUUAAUAUGAAAGGAAAUAUAUAACCCAGAAUGAUAGAAUCACUCUGGUACAUCUGUUGUAUGUUUAAGGAAAGAAACAAGCAGGUGAGUCUGGAGAAUGUUCGCUGCAGGUAAUGAAGUGAGUGCAGCCAUGUGCUCUAAUCUCAGAGUUAGAUUAGUAUUUUGCUUAGUGAAUUUCUAUGGCAUAUUUCUGAGAACACUUUAGUUUGGGUAUAUUUCUACACUUACUAGAAGCUAAUUCAGUCAAGAAAGGUUGGUUUUUUUUAACGUACUUUAUUUUUGUGCUCUUCUGCCCAAAGAAAAUGCUGAUAAGAACAUAGACAGUCUAAGAUGCAAAUGUAUAUUAAAAUGUGCUUGUUCAGAUUGCUUUGCAAGAACUAUAUUACAGGGAAGUGUGUGAAUGUGUGAAAGAGAGAGAGACUCAAUGUGAUGCAUCACAAAUUGUCUUGACUUAGGAAUCAGGUGAUGGAGAACGGAGACCAUAGACCUAGCCGCAACUAGCUCGCUGAAAUUGAACAGAUCAGCUUCUCCACCAUAGGCUGAGAUGACUGAAGAUAUCUAAAGUUCCUUCCAGCUCUGACAACAUUUCUGUGAAAGCUGACCACUUGUGGGAAACACACCUACAAGAUAUCCAUCACAGCUGACAGAGGAAGGGAACAAUGUGAUGCCUGGAGCCCAUCACGCCUGGAGACCAACAUCCUGGACCCCCUCCUUACUGCUCAUUUUCCCUAUAUAACUGACUCAAGAUUCUGUAAUCCUUGAAGAUGAGUUUUGGGGACGUUAGUCACCCAUCUUCUGAUUUGCU
This 1342-nucleotide long non-coding RNA is filed under the name Equus caballus (horse). RNAcentral's name for it is "lncRNA (ENSECAG00000051244.1)". The record is from RNAcentral. Lineage: Eukaryota; Metazoa; Chordata; Mammalia; Perissodactyla; Equidae.